This 301-nucleotide ribosomal RNA is filed under the name uncultured bacterium. Its description in RNAcentral is "partial 16S ribosomal RNA". It matches the Rfam family "Bacterial small subunit ribosomal RNA", at positions 509 to 809 of the family's 1533-position model. The record is from RNAcentral.
CAGCCGCCGCGGUAAUACGAAGGGUGCAAGCGUUAAUCGGAAUUACUGGGCGCAAAGCGUGCGUAGGCGGUUUGUUAAGUCUGUUGUGAAAUCCCCGGGCUCAACCUGGGAAUGGCAAUGGAUACUGGCAAGCUAGAGUGUGUCAGAGGAUGGUGGAAUUCCCGGUGUAGCGAUGAAAUGCGUAGAGAUCGGGAGGAACAUCAGUGGCGAAGGCGGCCAUCUGGGACAACACUGACGCUGAGGCACGAAAGCGUGGGGAGCAAACAGGAUUAGAUACCCCAGUAGUCCCUGUCUCUUACAC